RNAcentral lists this long non-coding RNA (428 nucleotides) under Mustela putorius furo (domestic ferret). RNAcentral describes it as "lncRNA (ENSMPUG00000029007.1)". The record is from RNAcentral. Lineage: Eukaryota; Metazoa; Chordata; Mammalia; Carnivora; Mustelidae.
UUUUCAUCCACUAUCAUUGAUCCAAUUUGCAACACCAGAAGUAUUUUCACAUGACCAAAAAUGAAAACGAGAGAAACAACAGAGCCUGCAAAGUAGAGGUAGGGAUUCGUUCCAAACUUCAUUGCUAAUUAUUGACCUUUAUAUCAGGUUCAGAUCACCCUUGAGAUUCUGUAUCAGUACCUCUCCUCUGAGUUUUCACAUCAUCUUUACUUAGGGGAAAGAGAGGGCAGAGGGAGAGGCCGAGAACUCCAAGCAGUCUCUCUGCUGAGCACAGUGGGGAUGCAGGGCUCAGUCACAUGACCCCAAGAUCAUGACCUGAGCCAAAAUCAAGAGUCAGAUGCUUAACUGACUGAGCCACCGUGCGCCCCUGGAUGUGAUAUUUCUUAAGAUAGUUGUGAGUUUAGUUCCUCUGUGGGACUAUUAGUUUC